ACACGGAGCUUGCUCUGUGGGAUCAGUGGCGAACGGGUGAGUAACACGUGAGCAACCUGCCCCUGACUCUGGGAUAAGCGCUGGAAACGGCGUCUAAUACUGGAUAUGUGACGUGACCGCAUGGUCUGCGUUUGGAAAGAUUUUUCGGUUGGGGAUGGGCUCGCGGCCUAUCAGCUUGUUGGUGAGGUAAUGGCUCACCAAGGCGUCGACGGGUAGCCGGCCUGAGAGGGUGACCGGCCACACUGGGACUGAGACACGGCCCAGACUCCUACGGGAGGCAGCAGUGGGGAAUAUUGCACAAUGGGCGGAAGCCUGAUGCAGCAACGCCGCGUGAGGGAUGACGGCCUUCGGGUUGUAAACCUCUUUUAGCAGGGAAGAAGCGAGAGUGACGGUACCUGCAGAAAAAGCACCGGCUAACUACGUGCCAGCAGCCGCGGUAAU
Molecule: ribosomal RNA, 441 nt
Filed under: uncultured bacterium
Lineage: Bacteria
Description: bacterial SSU rRNA
Rfam family: Bacterial small subunit ribosomal RNA
Source: RNAcentral